Molecule: long non-coding RNA, 6895 nt
Organism: Gallus gallus (chicken)
Lineage: Eukaryota; Metazoa; Chordata; Aves; Galliformes; Phasianidae
Exons: 2
Source: RefSeq, a predicted model, not a curated record
GUGUUUGCUAAUUGAAGAAAGAGUUCAUUUGAGAAUGAGCUAUUCUGAUUACACGAUACAGACACUUGGACCUUUGAAAAGCAGCUGAAAGUCCCUGUACCAUCUCAGAGCCCAAAGUUCCACAGCCCAUAAAGUGCUUCUCCCCAAAAAACUUUGACCCAUCAGAUUAACUUAGAUACAGCCAUCUGAACUGAUAACACUUUGGGCAGAGCAGCACACUGCUGUGAAUGACAUGUCACACUGGUGCCUCGAGCACAACUGUCUAAGAACAGAAGCAUUAAUAAACACGGAUGCGAUCCUGUGGCCAUCGAGGCACACAGUCCCCUUGGCCAGUAGCUAAUGCAGGCCCCUUGCUUUUGGUUAGCCACGAACAAAGAACAGAAUCUCAGAGCGUUUCCCAGGUCCUCCCAGUAACACAGCACAGUGACACAAGGGGCUUAGACUGCAGCACUGAUGUCAGGAAUUCCUCUCUCUCUCCCUGCAACAACUCCAGUCAAAGAACCGGACCCCUCAAGCAAGCUGCAAGCACACAGGACAAUUUACCCACUCUCAUUUUGAAGGCUUUUAGGCUGGUGUGCUAAGUAGCAGCUCUUUAGCAAUCAUUACUGAGUAAGUACUUGCUCCUAGAUACCAAUUUCAAAAUAGCCAGUACUAGCAUGUCACUAGAAUACAGAAUGAGAAGACUCAGUCAAAGGAGCUGUCUGCAGCUUGGAUUCCACACACAGCUUCAGAUAACAAAACACAGAGCAAUGACCUACCCCUCCUGUGUUCUGUUUCCGAACAUCCAGGGCGGACGCCAGUCCUUUGACAGCUUGUGGGUCCUCAUAUGUCACACUGCAACAAAGGAACAAACCACAGAACUAGAAGGAAGUCCAGCAGUCAUCCAUGGAGAAUGCACAUGCUAUUUUGAUUAACUUCUCUUGAAAUCAAAAACUACAUUCUUUUUCCUAACAAGACUUAAGUGCACUACAUGUGUUCUAAAAAGAGGGGUGUGCUCUGUAUAGAACUAGCUAGCAGUUCCUCAGACAGCUUGUUGUAGAAAAAAAAAAAGAGGAAAACUGACAUUAUGAGAGGGAGGCAAGUAGGUUAUGAGGCACCACAAGCACAUCCAAGAGGUAGCAGGGGACUAUGAAAAAAGGCUUGAUUACAGACUACGAUUUACAAAGCUUUCUAUGUGAUGUUUGGAAACCUGUCCUUGAUGCAUGGAGGGAAACUGGCAGAGAGAGAUUUGGAGGCAGGUGAAACACUCCUAAGAACUAAAGCAAAGCACAUGAAGAAGUGCACUGACUUGGCUCAUCACCAUCUAUUUGCAGAGGCUGGAUUUUUAAAAAGCUCCCUACAACACUGUGUAAAAGGGACACGUACUAGUCAGGUGGCAGUGGCAAUUGCAUCACUUCUCUGAGCAUAGCAGCAGCCCCUGGCAGGAGUUGUGGCUGUGCAGGAGUGCUGGCUUCUCCUGGGCUCUCAGCACAGCAUCCAGAGGCUCGCACUUAAGCAUGGUGGCAUGUCACACUCACAUCUUCACUGCCUCACUGCUGCUCCACUUACACAGAGUGCAGUCCAAGGAAGACACAGCAAUUCUUCCCUGUGAAAUCACGGACUGAUGUGCACUCCUUGUUCUAUUAGCUCGCAGAAGGAGAUAGAGGUGCAGUGUGGGAAGCUAGUUUCGCGCUUCAUUUAGCACAAGAGACAGAAGGAACUCCAUUAGAUCUCUCUGCAAUGCAUCUCCUUUCUGACUGCACAUUAGGGCUCUCAGCCUGAAAUCUCUAGUGGUAACGUAUGCCCCUACAGCAGAGCACAUCUCAGCACUGACACUACAGCUGAAGCAGUACAAACAGCUAUACUGAUGGCUGUAAAUGAAAGAUCCUAAUAAGCCUGCCAGCUGAAAUUAUCGAAAACUUAUCAGCUCUGGAAAAUCUGCUAAAGUCUCAGCUAAGCUAUUUAACAUUUUUUUGGUUUGAGAUGAAGUGUUGCUCUGACUGCUGGUAGCCACUACACCUUCUUGAAUUUGAAACCAGGAGGCAGCAAGAAAUAAUAUAUGAAAGUAAAUUACCUGAGUGGCUUUUAAUGAAUCUCACUUGACAGGGAUCAAAGGAUUUCUUAAUAAAUGCAUAGAUUUAUUUUAAAUUAAAAUAAUUGGGCCUGAUAAAUACCCACGAAAUUGCCAGACUUGCAGCCCUAGAGAUGCAAGCCCUACAAAUAUAAACAAAUUAGAGACAGCAUGGCAGCCAGUCAAGCUACACUGCCUUGACAUCCUAAGAGAGUCUCAUUGUUGGGCCAAAGGGAGAGUUUAACUGAUGUUAACUCUGUUUUCAAGCCCUUGACUACAGCAAUUCAGCCGCCAAGGUGUAUCCAUGACCUUCAUAUGAAAGACAUUUAUGCUCCUCUACCAUAAGCACUGGCCAGGUGGAUGAGGAGACAAGCCUUUUUGAGAGCAAAAGUAGAUGCAAGUUUAUUUCCAAGUUUCCAGUGAACUCAUUAACUAAGACAGUCAAGUAACAUUACCCAGCCAGUCUGCUCUGGCCAGCAGCAAGAACUUCUCCAUUUGCUAAUACUAAUAAAGACCAGGAAGAUAAGGCCCAGAUUAAAAGCAGCACAAAAAUAUACAUCAAAACUACUUUUUUCCAUCUGGAAUGAAACAAAGAAGUUUCAGAUUCAUGCCCUUAGAAAAUACUAAGGCCACGAAUCAAACAACACCAAUGAUAAACUCCAACAUACUUCUUUCGUUGCUCAGCCAGGGAACUGCCUCUUGUCUGUGCAAACAUGUCGAAAUCAUCACGAGGGUUACAGUGUUGCAGGGAGCUGAGUGUGCCACUGACGCUGUUUGUACCCAAGUCUGCAACAGAAGCGGACCAAUGAAACAGUAUUUCACAUGCAAGCAACACUGCCAUGACUGCAUAGGCUAUAGAGGAAGUUAUUAACAACACAGCUAUAAACAUCAUCUAGUUAACAGCUGUAGCACUGAGCACAACGCUGCCCAGAAGGAGCUGGAGGCUGCCCAUCAUGCACUCCUGAAAGGACAAAUGGAGAGAUUGUUUUAUUACUCCUAGAAGCAUCCCAUCAUAGCAAUUCCUGACCAAGAAGUCGGCAGCAGGUGCACACCUAUUGCCAGAUGCUAAUCUCAUCCUGAGAUAUUUAUCAUUCAGUGGCACAGUGCAAAAUUUUGGACAUGGAUAUACUAUUCUGCCUCAGAAUGUUGUCUCUCAGCUACUGACUGUGGAACCAACAGUUUCAGAUCAAGUGAUCUGAUACCAGCAUGGUGCUGAAAGAGGCAGAGAACCUCCAGUCAAAUCAAGUGAUCACAUCAAGCAGUUUUUGGUUUGGUUUAAUGUAAACGAUCCACCAGUUUCAUAGGAUCUUUCACUCAGAGUAUUCAAAUAUUAUUUGCAGGAGAACAGCCCAGAAUAUUAACUGGAUUCACCCCAUUGAGUGCUAAACCUUAGCAAGAAUAAUAGUACAAGUUUUACCAGGACUGAAAACUUGGAUCUGUCUCUUCUCCUUCAUGCUCCCCUUUGGUUAAUAAAUCCCUCCCUCUUGUGCCAGGCUGAUUCCCAAUUACCGAUCACUAUAGGGCAGGGGAAUGGGAAAGCCCUCCAAAACGUGGAAGCCACAUAACCAAAACUUCCUAUGGUUAUACAGCAAAAGUAGAGGUGAGUCAAAGGGUGCAGAAUGAAAAAGAUGUCUCCUUGUAAAUCCCAACAGCCCGUUGCAGGAAGGGCUCGCAUCAGAUGUUCAGGUCUGUCAAGGGACCUCAGCCAUAGCUCAGACUCGCUCCUAACACUCAAGAUCUGCCUAGCUGUUCCUGUGUGCUCUUCAAGACCCACAGAUUGGUCAGGUUUGAACAAAUCCAUGCAUUACAGCCUCACGUUCAUCAGCACUAUUAAACCAGGUACUCACCAAGCCCUGCAAGUUGUGAAGAAAGCGAUGAUGGUGGUGCUGAGUUUCCGACCAUUGGGCUCACUACAGCUGGAGAGCCAGGACCCAAAUCUAUUAAGUUAUCUUCUGUCACCUCAUUCAGAACCUGUUGGCACAUAAAAACAAAGCAAGUUACAAGUGCCAGAGAUUUUUUUUUUUUCCUCUGCAGUACAACAUUAAACACCAAAAAACCGUCUGCUUCCUAAAAAACCUUUCUUCCAUACUGCCAAAUGGGCUACUCCCCUGGAUACUAAAGAGAUUAAUGUAGAAAAGAAAGGGUCAGCCAGUUAAAAAAAAUAAAAUAAAAUAAAAAAAUCACUCUGACUGCUCAGGGCAGCAGGGAACUGUCCCAGAGGUCAUCUACAUCUCUUCAGAUUUAUCUCAUUUGUCUGUGCCUUCCACAUCUUUUUGCACCAGACCACCAUGAACGUCAGAAGCCUGCACAGACUCAAAAGCAAUCACAAAAGUCAAUAGAUGAAAGAAAAUCCAUCAAGAACUGUAAACAUAAAGAUGUUUUGGAGCGCUGACCUCCUGAGCUAGAAGUCUGCCAUGUUCUUACGCUCUUUUCCCUGUAUCCACUAUUAACCACCACAGGCAGGACACAGGUCUGACUUUUUAUCUGAUCCAUAAUGGCUGGUGUGGUGUAGCUACUAAUAUAAUACAUGGAGUUAGGUACUUACUCCAUUGCUGGCAUUUUGUGUGGAACGUCCUGAUCGGUAUCGUUCAAAUCUGUUUAAAAAAUAAUAAUAAUAAUAAAUCAAAAGGGACUAUUAAAGUCACCGAUAAACAAUGAAAAACGCAAGUUUAUAACGAAGUCAUGACAUGCUGGAUAAUGAAUGCAGCUUUCAUUGGUUCAAGAGAGAUCCUUAGCAGAUCUAACUCCAAGCUAGGACAAAGGGAGGAUAGUUACAGAAGUUGCAUUGUUGGCAAUGUGGAUAUUAAGUUGCCUAAUCUGAUCUUGCAGCACACACACGCCUGAAAAACACUGUAAGAUUUUGUCUUUUUUUUUUUUUUUUUCAUUAAGUGUUUCUUGAUAGACUGCUCUGUUAGCCAAGGGACAGAAGCAACUGCAGUAAGAUUGAUGCUCCCAGCUAAAUAAGCUGAGCACCGCAGUGACUCUUACUCCCACUUAACAGCUCCCUCUUGCUGCACUACAUGUAAAUUAGAAGCAAUAUACAUGCUAGCACAGCUCUACCCCAGGCAGCACGCACCAAAAGAAACAAUGCUUAACAAAAUCAUUCCUUAACAUACACUGGGUCAGCUCAAAGAUCAUCAGAAUCUAUGCUCAAAUAGGUUGGUGCUAUCCAAGAAUGAACAGUAAUGAGGUUAGAUAAAAACCCUCACAUUUCUUGGGGAGGAAGUCUAGCCAGCCAAGACCUGGUUCCUUCUCUACUCCUUCCCCACCCAGAUGUACACCUGGGACCCCAAAUGCAAACUCAGCAUGCAUGAACUCAAAAAGCAGAGGGAACUACUUCCACUCACAGCCUUCUUUAUCAUCAUUUUUCUGAAGUUAAGAGUUUUUCCUCAUUCAGAAGUAGUAACACGUGACCUCUCUAUUCAGUAAAAAAUAAGAAUACUGUGGGUUUUCUCUCAGCUGAACAAAACACAAUGGAGAACUGCAAGCAAACUAAAGCGUUUUCAUAAAGUAACAGAGGAAGACGUAGAUCUAAAAGGCAAGAAAACAAAGUCAGGCCCAAAUUUCAAUUUUAGGAAACUGUGGGUGUCUGGUGUUACUGGAAAUCCAGUUCCCUGAGCUGGAAACCUAGGACACCUCCCACCUCUCAUUUCUCACCAGCAGGCUGAUGUACCACACAUGUUCUUUUACAUCCAAAGCUCCACAGCGACAGCCAGAGCUCCUGCUAGAAUCACUGAAAGAGCUUCAGACCCAUAAGAGAAAUCAAUGUGAUGAAUGUGGAGCUUUUGGAACAACAGAGAAUUGGAAUUUAUUGAAGCACUCAGACCACCACAGCUAUUCUACCAUAAAUAGCUUGCCAGCACUGCUCAGCUCACCUUGCAGUGUAUAAUGGUUACAAAUAUGCCAGCUACAAUCAGCAAAGUUGCAGAUGGAGUAACAUAGAAAAAAAAAUAUUCAGGGUGACCAAACUGAGCCUUAGUGAUCGUUACUCUCUGCCCCACGUAGGAUCAUGCUCAUGCAUGAAACACGUACCAUUUCACACAAAAAGUCAGCAUUUGUUUCAAAGUUUGGCCCGAUCUCCUCUGAAGGGCUAAAUCAAAGACAAAAUUGAGGCCACUGAGUCUUCUUUCCAGCCUCUGCUGUGACAGCACAGAUUCACAGAUCUAGAGCCUAAUUUAUUUUUAAAGGCUUGAGAAACAAAGCCCUAUGCUAGGAACAAGGAACAAAGGGUGCUCUUUAGUGCCUCACUCCCCAGGCCUGUCAUUAAGGGGAAGAUUAAACUUUCCCAAGACUGUCGUAUCACGUGUCACUCCUGCAGCAGAUGUGGCUGACAGCGCCUUUGUCUGACAUGCUGGAAGUCCUGUGACCCACGUCCCGCCCCUGGGGAUGAUGCCUGCACGUCGACUCUUCAAAACCUCCGUUCUGCGUAAGCCAGGCCUUUUCAAGAUGUUAAGCAUUAUUUAAAAACAAAACCCUUCCAUGCAUGAAGGCUUCGUGCACAUCAGGCAGCUCCCCUCGCACCAGAACUGGAAGCGGGGAGCUCAGAGAUCAGAAGACAGAGAGCUGUCGGGAGCCUCCCCAAGCCAGGAAGCAGCACAGGCAUUUCUGCAGAGCCUACGUUAGGAAGUGGAACUGGCAGCUGGGGCUGUGCUGCUCUCAUUCCCUGGUUCCUACAUUCAUACAGCAACACAUGGUAGGAACUACAGAGUCAAGCCUCUGCCAGUUCAAAGAGUGUUGCACCACACUAGCCUGCAUUUUACAGAUAUUCUCUACAAAAAUUCAAUUGCAAGGACAGAAAAAACAAACAACAUAAUACUAAAAGAAACAACUGAAACAGGAAUAUUA